This 183-nucleotide non-coding RNA is filed under the name Ferrovum sp. 21-44-67. RNAcentral describes it as "6S RNA". It matches the Rfam family "6S / SsrS RNA". Rfam says of the family: E. coli 6S RNA was the first non coding RNA to be sequenced, but its function was unknown until recently. It consists of 184 nucleotides that fold into an extended hairpin structure with a large single-stranded internal bulge. The record is from RNAcentral. Lineage: Bacteria; Pseudomonadati; Pseudomonadota; Betaproteobacteria; Ferrovales; Ferrovaceae. RNAcentral also lists the same sequence under 3 other names.
AAUCCCCUGUUAAGUUUGUUACGGUUAUAAAUUCUUUGAACCGAUAAUCAUCUAACCUGGAGAUUUAUUCUAAUGAAGUUUGUUGUGCCGCGUCCCAUGGGAUGCGCCUGAUGACUUCGGUAAGUCGCCACUCUUAUAGAGCCUGGGUUCAAGAUGCUAACCGGACGGCUUAGCGGGGGGAUU